GUCGAAACACCGGUUCCCGUACGAUCAGCGAAGUUAAGCAACUUCGAGCCAGGUCAGUACAUAGAUGGGUGAACGCUUGUAAG
Molecule: non-coding RNA, 83 nt
Organism: Acanthosepion pharaonis
Lineage: Eukaryota; Metazoa; Mollusca; Cephalopoda; Sepiida; Sepiidae
Source: the annotation of a GenBank genome assembly